UACAGAGGUCUCAAGCGUUGUUCGGAUUCAUUGGGCGUAAAGGGUGCGUAGGCGGCGCGGUAAGUUGGGUGUGAAAUCUCGGAGCUUAACUCCGAAACUGCAUUCGAUACUGCCGUGCUUGAGGACUGGAGAGGAGACUGGAAUUUACGGUGUAGCGGUGAAAUGCGUAGAUAUCGUAAGGAAGACCAGUGGCGAAGGCGGGUCUCUGGACAGUUCCUGACGCUGAGGCACGAAGGUCAGGGGAGCAAACAGG
This 253-nucleotide ribosomal RNA is filed under the name uncultured bacterium. Its description in RNAcentral is "partial 16S ribosomal RNA". It matches the Rfam family "Bacterial small subunit ribosomal RNA", at positions 524 to 776 of the family's 1533-position model. The record is from RNAcentral.